UACAGAGGGGGCAAGCGUUAUUCGGAAUUAUUGGGCGUAAAGGGCGCGUAGGCGGCCUGACAAGUGGAAGGUGAAAUCCCUCGGCUUAACCGAGGAACUGCCUUCCAGACUGUUUGGCUUGAGACCGGGAGAGGUGAGUGGAAUUCCCAGUGUAGCGGUGAAAUGCGUAGAUAUUGGGAGGAACACCAGUGGCGAAGGCGGCUCACUGGACCGGUACUGACGCUGAGGCGCGAAAGCGUGGGGAGCAAACGGG
Molecule: ribosomal RNA, 253 nt
Filed under: uncultured bacterium
Lineage: Bacteria
Description: partial 16S ribosomal RNA
Rfam family: Bacterial small subunit ribosomal RNA
Source: RNAcentral